AUCUUCGCGUCCGAUUCGACAAAGCGGCAAGUGGUGCUCGCGUAAUUCGCGUAAUGGGACGAGCAGCCGUCAUUUCGGGCAAUAAAUUUUCAUCGUUUCACGUGGACAAUGUACGACUAAAAGCGACGAAAAAGGCGCACAAUUUUCAAACUGUGUGUGGCCUCGUCGAAUAUAACCAUCUCUCCCUCUCUCUUCCUCUUUUACUUUCGUACAGGCAUACUCCCGCUUUAAAUUGCACCGACAAACGGUCAGAAAACGAGUUGUGUUCAGUGAACAGAAAGAGAGAAA
RNAcentral lists this long non-coding RNA (288 nucleotides) under Polistes fuscatus (common paper wasp). RNAcentral's name for it is "uncharacterized LOC122520759". The record is from RNAcentral. Lineage: Eukaryota; Metazoa; Arthropoda; Insecta; Hymenoptera; Vespidae.